ACUGGCUUAGGUUAAAGCGUCUGCCUCCAAUACGGGAGACCCAGGUUCGAUCCCUGGGU
RNAcentral lists this transfer RNA (59 nucleotides) under Ovis aries (sheep). It matches the Rfam family "tRNA", at positions 6 to 65 of the family's 71-position model. Rfam says of the family: Transfer RNA (tRNA) molecules are approximately 80 nucleotides in length. Their secondary structure includes four short double-helical elements and three loops (D, anti-codon, and T loops). The record is from Rfam by way of RNAcentral. Lineage: Eukaryota; Metazoa; Chordata; Mammalia; Artiodactyla; Bovidae.